UCCCGGGCCAUAUACACUCUUAUUUGCUCAACAGUAUAAAUCUUUCAGCAGACUACAGAUGAGCCCAUUGCACUUGGGGACGGGGAAGGGAAGGAUGUCACAAUGUGCUGAGUGACACCAGCCUGUGGAGCAUCUUGGGUUCCCCUUAGGAGAGCAUUUCUUGACCAGAAGCAUCAGUGGGCUCCUUCCUGGGCUGCUCCUACAGUGCAGAGGGAGAGCUCACAUCGACAGAGGAUUUGAUGCCUGAGAGACGCCUAUCACUGCUGGCCAGCACUUCUGUGCCCCUUAAAUGCUCUUUUGAGGCUGUAAAUCUUGUUCUGACAGAUACAGACAAGUUUCCCCCACCCCACCCCCCGCUGGUUAAGUCCCUUAGGCAGGAUGAGGCUCAUCUGUGGAGGGAGAGGGCAUUUGAUGGAGAGCGACUGCAUGUGCAAGUCAUUGCUUUAGAGGGAUCUGUUUUCAGUUGCUGCUGAGACAAACUUACCAGUCAAAAUAUUGCAGCUUUUCAAGUCCAAGUCAGCAACAUUUCCUGUAAGCAGUGUUUUACAUUGUAUUUUCAUGAGUCGCUUUUGUGAUUGUCUCAAAACCUUGGUAAAGAGAGCUCUGUCAUUAAUUUUACUCUUCUAUUCAAUGCUGGCGAUUCGUACAUUGUGCCUGUCCAGCGCAAACCAGGAAGUUUUAUUUGACAGUGUUGCUGCUGUGCUGCAGGAAACCCAAAGAGCAGAAAAAGCCAUUGUUUUGUGCUUAGAUGAACUCAAUGCCAGGCACCAAUCCUUUGCUAAAUUGGGAUGCACUCUGGGUAACCUUCCUUCUUCAGUAACAAAUGUGACUCCUAAGCUGCCCUGAGCUGGGUCUGCUCGAGUGGUCGCAGUGGUAUAAGAGCCUCACUCCUUAAAAGUGCUUUUUCACUCUUGCUCCAUAUGUGUUUGCAGAAGGUUGUUCCUGGGCAGCCUCCAGCACUAUGGCACCAGCCCCUGGUGAAACAUUAAUCUCUUCCCCUCACUCACUGGGAGUCAGAGCCCAACAGCCUUCCCCAAAUCACCAGGCUCUGUGGAGUAAGAAGCUGUGCCCAGACAUCUCACAGCUCCUUCUCCCUGAGCUUAGCUAGACACCUGGCAGCCCUGAGAACUGCUCCACAUGCA
This is a long non-coding RNA of Oxyura jamaicensis (ruddy duck), 1142 nucleotides long. RefSeq lists it as uncharacterized. The record is from RefSeq and is a predicted model, not a curated record. NCBI's taxonomy places the organism in Eukaryota, Metazoa, Chordata, Aves, Anseriformes, Anatidae. The transcript is spliced from 3 exons.